RNAcentral lists this long non-coding RNA (1853 nucleotides) under Selaginella moellendorffii. RNAcentral's name for it is "long non-coding RNA (SMOE_LNC001317)". The record is from RNAcentral. Lineage: Eukaryota; Viridiplantae; Streptophyta; Lycopodiopsida; Selaginellales; Selaginellaceae.
AAGUUGGCGGUGCCAGAGAUCGACAGUGGUGCACCGGAUUCCAUUGCUGCGACAGAUCCCAUGGUGGAGGACACACAGGGAGCAUGUCCUGCCAGUGAAGACAUUCACGAGCUUGUGGAAGAGGAGCAAACCAAAGUCGAUGUGCCACAGCAAGUUUCCGAACGCGAGGUCGAGCUUCCCAUUCCAGUAGAAGAACUCCCAGAGUCGGCGAACGAAGUCGUCCAGGAGCCAGAGCCUGUUGCUGAGGCCGUUCCCGGGCCAGAGGCCGUGCCUGAGGUUGCUGAGGAACCUGCCCAGGAGGUGGAACUGGCCGAGCCACUCGUAGCUCAAGUACCAACUGCCACAGUGGAUGCUGUCUUACCAGCACACAAGGAAAUCGAGGCCGAAGAGAGCAUAGAGCCGGCCGAGGUGGCUGUGGAUGACCAGGUGGAGAAUGUCGAGCCCAGGGAGAGUGGUUCAGUCGCGAUCCUGGAGGAGGGAGAAAAGUUGGCGGUGCCAGAGAUCGACAGUGGUGCACCUGAUUCCAUGCAUGCGACAGAUCCCAUGGUGGAGGACACACAGGGAGCAUGUCCUGCCAGUGAAGACAUUCACGAGCUUGUGGAAAAGGAGCAAACCAAAGUCGAUGUGCCACAGCAAGUUUCCGAACGCGAGGUCGAGCUUCCCAUUCCAGUAGAAGAACUCCCAGAGUCGGCAAACGAAGCCGUCCAGGAGCCAGAGCCUGUUGCUGAGGCCGUUCCCGGGACAGAGGCCGUGCCUGAGGCUGCUGAGGAACUUGCCCAGGAGGUGGAACUGGCCGAGCCACUCGUAGCUCAAGUACCAACGGCCACAGUGGAUGCCGUCUUACCCGCACACGAGGAAAUCGAGGCCGAAGAGAGCAUAGAGCCGGCCGAGGGGGCUGUGGAUGACCAGGUGGAGAAUGUCGAGCCCAGGGAGAGUGCUUCAGUCGCGGUCCUGGAGGAGGGAGAAAAGUUGGCGGUGCCAGAGAUCGAGAGUGGUGCACCGGAUUCCAUGCAUGCAACAGAUCCCAUGGUGGAGGACACACAGGGAGCAUGUCCUGCCAGUGAAGACAUUCACGAGCUUGUGGAAGAGGAGCAAACCAAAGUCGAUGUGCCACAGCAAGUUUCCGAACGCGAGGUCGAGCUUCCCAUUCCAGUAGAAGAACUCCCAGAGUCGGCAAACGAAGUCGUCCAGGAGCCACAGCCUGUGGUUGAGGCCGUUCCCGGGACAGAGGCCGUGCCUGAGGCUGCUGAGGAUCUUGCCCAGGAGGUGGAACUGGCCGAGCCACUCGUAGCUCAAGUACCAACUGCCACAGUGGAUGCCGUCUUACCCGCACACGAGGAAAUCGAGGCCGAAGAGAGCAUAGAGCCGGCCGAGGGGGCUGUGGAUGACCAGGUGGAGAAUGUCGAGCCCAGGGAGAGUGCUUCAGUCGCGAUCCUGGAGAAGGGAGAAAAGUUGGCGGUGCCAGAGAUCGACAGUGGUGCACCGGAUUCCAUUUCUGCGACAGAUCCCAUGGUGGAGGACACACAGGGAGCAUGUCCUGCCAGUGAAGACAUUCACGAGCUUGUGGAAGAGGAGCAAACCAAAGUCGAUGUGCCACAGCAAGUUUCCGAACGCGAGGUCGAGCUUCCCAUUCCAGUAGAAGAACUCCCAGAGUCGGCAAACGAAGCCGUCCAGGAGCCAGAGCCUGUUGCUGAGGCCGUUCCCGGGCCAGAGGCCGUGCCUGAGGUUGCUGAGGAACCUGCCCAGGAGGUGGAACUGGCCGAGCCACUCGUAGCUCAAGUACCAACUGCCACAGUGGAUGCUGUCUUACCAGCACACAAGGAAAUCGAGGCCGAAGAGAGCAUAGAGCCGGC